Pseudophryne corroboree (corroboree frog) is the source of this 380-nucleotide long non-coding RNA. RefSeq lists it as uncharacterized. Lineage: Eukaryota; Metazoa; Chordata; Amphibia; Anura; Myobatrachidae. The record is from RefSeq and is a predicted model, not a curated record. The transcript has 3 exons.
UGGAAACUCCUCUGCAGCCAUGGAGGAUGUAGUGGGAGAAGGGACACCAAGCCUGACCCGGACUGCUCUGCCCCUGCCCAUGUCGGCUCACAGUGGCAGUGCCGCGAUUCGCGGGAAUUUUGGGGGCGGAGCCUAAUACUGUGAAAUGCCAGCCCCCAUAAGAGACCUGAUCUGUACUGUAGUCAGCAUCUUACACACAAUGUGCUACUGUAUGGCUGAAGUGGACAUACAUAUAUUUACAGGAUGUGGACAAGGCCAUUUUGCUCGGAUUCCAUUUCAUCUUUUACUGACUUCGUUUGAUACUCACAAUCAAGCUGAGGGGAGUGUGGGUCACGUCUUGGAGGUGUGUCCAAAAUUUGGAGUGUGGGGCCCGAACAUAC